GUCUAAGUCAGUUCAUACGGUGGUAGCUAGGCUCACUCAGAUAUGUAUUUAUCUUUGUGUGUUACUGCCACCAACCCAUCACACGGUUUGUCUGCUAGUGUCCUGCCUGAAGCCCACAGCCUGUUCUCUGAAGUAUAAGAGCCCAGCUGAACCCUGGACCCCCACCUGCUCACCUGAAAUCUCAAAUAAUACCUGUGCUGAUCAGUAGAGGCUAGGAUCCACUCAGUAUCUCACAACCCUACACCUGCAUUUUCUUUAAACAUUAAAUCCAUAAAUAUGCUCUAUUGCAGUCCUAUUCUAUUACAACAAAGUCUGGGUGGUAUAGAAGCAAAAUGCAAAGAAAAGACAGAUGGCUCAGUCAUUUUAACAGCCCUGUGAGAGAAUCAGGAGUUCGGGUGAUAUAGGCUGGAUGAAAGCACGACCAAAACUCAUCGGUAAAAAAAGACGAGAACUGAUAAAAUUAAUGAAAGACUACAGACAGCAGGUGUUCUCAGAACAUAACCGUGCCGUCUUAUGACAGCAUAAAAGUAAACAUGAGUUUUCGUCAUGAUUUUCCAGCUGCAUUGAGGUUUGUUGACGUAAAUGCCAAGUGACAAAAACUGUGGUGAACAGCAAUUGAGUUUGAUGUUGUAGACACUCCACCCCACUGUGAGACAUCCUUUAUCGAAAUGUCUUAUAAAUAUCUCAGCAAGCUGCACGCUUGGCUGCUUGGUACAAUUGUCAUAAUCAUUUGUGUUUUACAACAGCAAGCUGUUGAAUAUUAAGAGCAUGUACAAUUGUUUAAACCAAAUGUAUUAUUGAUUCCUCUAAACUUUUCCUCUCUGCAGUUUUUAACCUUUCUCCUUAUUUUUUUUUUUAUUUUCUCUCUUCCGCUCUUCGUUCAUCCGGUCGCAUUUGUUUCGACUCCUGUAAUUCCUCUCAGCUUUCAAAAUGGUUUUUUUUUAGUAGAUCCUUUUAAAGAGGAUGAUUAAAAGUUCUAGCUGAAAUGAUCCUCUGUUGCUACCACUAGACUGAUCUUUGCAUCAUAGGGUGGAGGACUUAGGGGAAAGUCAUGAAUCUCUCCUGGGAGAUAAUGACAUGUGCAGUCAUGUACAAAAUGCUAUGCUGAUUUAAUAUUUAUAAUAAUAAUAAUGGAUGUCAUAAUGCUUUCUCCAGUCUCAUCGACCUGUCAAAAAAAAUAUACAGCACGUCUACUAUCCUGUUAGGAGGACCCGCUCUACCUGCCAAGUAUAUAAAUGUGUUGGACAUGCUUUCAUUUUGCAUCUGGUACUGCUCUUUUCUUGUCUCUUUCCUUAUUGUCCAGCCUACGAUGACUCCCUGAGCCUUUUUUUUUCCUUUUACUGUUAAAAAGGAUUUCUUUCUCCCCACCGUCACCAAGUGACUCACAGGUCAUUGUCUGAUCUUUGAUGUUGUUUGUAUAACAUUACCAGGUCUUCACUUUUCAAUAUAAAGUUGCUUGACGUGA
Molecule: long non-coding RNA, 1465 nt
Organism: Maylandia zebra (zebra mbuna)
Lineage: Eukaryota; Metazoa; Chordata; Actinopteri; Cichliformes; Cichlidae
Source: RefSeq, a predicted model, not a curated record